GGGGUUAAAGAACCUUCGGUGCCGCAGCCAACGCAGUAAGCGAUCCACCUGGGGAGUACGUUCGCAAGAAUGAAACUCAAAGGAAUUGACGGGGACCCGCACAAGCGCUGGAGCAUGUGGUUUAAUUCGAAGCAACGCGAAGAACCUUACCAGGCCUUGACAUCCCCCUGAAUGGGUGGCAAUGCAUCCAGCCUUUCGAGGCAGGGGAGACAGGUGGUGCAUGGUUGUCGUCAGCUCGUGUCGUGAGAUGUUGGGUCAAGUCCCGCAACGAGCGCAACCCCUGCCCCCAGUAGCCAGCAUUUAAGAUGGGCACUCUGGGGGGACUGCCGGGGAUAACCCGGAGGAAGGCGGGGAUGACGUCAAAUCAUCAUGCCCCUUAUGGCCGGGGCUACACACGUGCUACAAUGGCGUAAACAGAGGGAGGCGAGACAGCGAUGUUAAGCGAACCCCAAAAAUAACGUCCCAGUUCGGAUUGCAGCCUGCAACUCGGCUGCAUGAAGCUGGAAUCGCUAGUAAUCGCGGAUCAGAAUGCCGCGGUGAAUACGUUCCCGGGUCUUGCACACACCGCCCGUCA
Molecule: ribosomal RNA, 574 nt
Filed under: uncultured bacterium
Lineage: Bacteria
Description: bacterial SSU rRNA
Rfam family: Bacterial small subunit ribosomal RNA
Source: RNAcentral